This 253-nucleotide ribosomal RNA is filed under the name uncultured bacterium. Its description in RNAcentral is "partial 16S ribosomal RNA". It matches the Rfam family "Bacterial small subunit ribosomal RNA", at positions 524 to 776 of the family's 1533-position model. The record is from RNAcentral.
AACGUAGGUGGCGAGCGUUAUCCGGAUUUACUGGGCGUAAAGGGUGUGCAGGCGGGCUGUUAAGUGGUGUAUGAAAUAUCCCGGCUCAACCGGGAGAGGUUAUGCCAGACUGGCAGUCUAGAGAGCGAGAGAGGGACGUGGAAUUCCGGGUGUAGUGGUGAAAUGCGUAGAGAUCCGGAGGAACCCCAGAGGCGUAGGCGGCGUCCUGGCUCGCAUCUGACGCUCAGACACGACAGCAUGGGGAGCGAACGGG